UGGGGAAUUUUGCACAAUGGGGGAAACCCUGAUGCAGCGACGCCGCGUGAUUUAGAAGGCCUUCGGGUUGUAAAAAUCUUUUCUAUGGGAAGAAAUUGAAAGUACCAUAGGAAUAAGGACCGGCUAAUUACGUGCCAGCAGCCGCGGUAAUACGUAAGGUCCGAGCGUUGUCCGGAAUCAUUGGGCGUAAAGGGUACGUAGGCGGGUAAGCAAGUUAGAAGUGAAAUCCUAUAGCUCAACUAUAGUAAGCUUUUAAAACUGCUCAUCUUGAGGUAUGGAAGGGAAAGUGGAAUUCCUAGUGUAGCGGUGAAAUGCGCAGAUAUUAGGAGGAAUACCGGUGGCGAAGGCGACUUUCUGGCCAUAACCUGACGCUGAGGUACGAAAGCGUGGGUAGCAAACAGG
RNAcentral lists this ribosomal RNA (402 nucleotides) under bacterium. RNAcentral describes it as "partial 16S ribosomal RNA". It matches the Rfam family "Bacterial small subunit ribosomal RNA", at positions 355 to 776 of the family's 1533-position model. The record is from RNAcentral.